CAGGGUUCCCAUUGGGUGACUAUGUAUUCACGGUUACAAAAAGCCGACAGCCAAUCACAUCUCAUUCAGUGGCUUCAGCUGUUUUUCAAACCGACAUUAAAACACUAUUAAAGAAAAGGGUUUGGUACAAGGCUCAAAAGUGGGGCCAAACUGUUUAAUGUCUCUAUAUAAAUAAUAAAAUAUAAAUAAAAGCAACCAAUCGGAUUACUACCGUUUGCACCAAUGAUGUUUCUCUCUCUCCGCAGAAAGAAUGGCAGCGAAAAUGGCGAGGCGCAUACUUCGAAAAGUAUUUUGUUGCCUCCCACUUUUUAGAAAAAAACGAAUUGUGAUAAAAGAUAAAGAAGUUGUUAUUCUGGUUCAACCAGAAGAACAACAACAUCAACCCACUGAAACCAUCUGCGAGGACAACCCGGAGCAGAUUGUGGGGG
This is a long non-coding RNA of Xenopus tropicalis (tropical clawed frog), 428 nucleotides long. RefSeq lists it as uncharacterized. Lineage: Eukaryota; Metazoa; Chordata; Amphibia; Anura; Pipidae. The record is from RefSeq and is a predicted model, not a curated record. The transcript has 4 exons.